RNAcentral lists this ribosomal RNA (663 nucleotides) under uncultured bacterium. RNAcentral describes it as "bacterial SSU rRNA". It matches the Rfam family "Bacterial small subunit ribosomal RNA", at positions 159 to 809 of the family's 1533-position model. The record is from RNAcentral.
GGUGCUAAUACCGCAUAACCAUAGUUACCGCAUGGUAACUAUGUAAAAGGUGGCUAUGCUACCGCUUUUGGAUGGGCCCGCGGCGCAUUAGCUAGUUGGUGGGGUAAAGGCUUACCAAGGCAAUGAUGCGUAGCCGAACUGAGAGGUUGAUCGGCCACAUUGGGACUGAGACACGGCCCAAACUCCUACGGGAGGCAGCAGUAGGGAAUCCUCCACAAUGGGCGAAAGCCUGAUGGAGCAACGCCGCGUGGGUGAAGAAGGUCUUCGGAUCGUAAAACCCUGUUGUUAGAGAAGAAAGUGCGUGAGAGUAACUGUUCACGUUUCGACGGUAUCUAACCAGAAAGCCACGGCUAACUACGUGCCAGCAGCCGCGGUAAUACGUAGGUGGCAAGCGUUAUCCGGAUUUAUUGGGCGUAAAGGGAACGCAGGCGGUCUUUUAAGUCUGAUGUGAAAGCCUUCGGCUUAACCGGAGUAGUGCAUUGGAAACUGGGAGACUUGAGUGCAGAAGAGGAGAGUGGAACUCCAUGUGUAGCGGUGAAAUGCGUAGAUAUAUGGAAGAACACCAGUGGCGAAAGCGGCUCUCUGGUCUGUAACUGACGCUGAGGUUCGAAAGCGUGGGUAGCAAACAGGAUUAGAUACCCUGGUAGUCCACGCCGUAAACGA